RNAcentral lists this ribosomal RNA (400 nucleotides) under uncultured Alphaproteobacteria bacterium. RNAcentral's name for it is "bacterial SSU rRNA". It matches the Rfam family "Bacterial small subunit ribosomal RNA", at positions 29 to 458 of the family's 1533-position model. Lineage: Bacteria; Pseudomonadati; Pseudomonadota; Alphaproteobacteria. The record is from RNAcentral.
AACGUACGCUGGCGGCACGCCUAACACAUGCAAGUCGAACGCAGUAGCAAUACUGAGUGGCAAACGGGUGAGUAUAAUGUGGGAAUCUGCCUUUUGGUUUGGAAUAACACGGGGAAACUUGUGCUAAUACCGAAUAAGCCCUUACGGGAAAGUUUUAACGCCGAAAGAUGAGCCUGCACUUGAUUAGCUAGUUGGUAAGGUAAAGCUUACCAAGGCAACGAUCAAUAGCUGUUCUUAGAGGAAGACCAGCCACAUUGGGACUGAGACACGGCCCAGACUCCUACGGGAGGCAGCAGUGGGGAAUCUUGCACAAUGGGGGAAACCCUGAUGCAGCGAUGCCGCGUGAGUGAAGAAGGCCCUUGGGUUGUAAAACUCUUUCGUCGGGGAAGAAAUGACUGUA